Molecule: non-coding RNA, 1073 nt
Organism: Podarcis muralis (Common wall lizard)
Lineage: Eukaryota; Metazoa; Chordata; Lepidosauria; Squamata; Lacertidae
Source: RefSeq, a predicted model, not a curated record
GUUAGUCGCUGGCUCGCGGGAGGCCUGUGGGCAUGCGCCGAGUGGGGCCGCCGCUGCCGCCGAGGCUUUUGGAGACGAAACCGAAGCUGAAGGCAGUUUGUAGGCAGGGAAGCACCUGAAGAAGUAAGAGGUGGUGCGAUUUCGGCUGCGACGACCCACGUAGCCUGGUCCUGUGAAUGGUUUCCCGGCUUUCUGGGUCUUCAUCACCCAGCAGUGGAAACACGCAGGAAAACAAGCGGACAGAAAUAGAUGGAUGCCUAAUUUCUUUUACUGAUUUCUGCAAAAUCUCAGAAUGGAACCCUGUUCAACUGAAUCUGGAAGGUUUCUUUAAAUAUUCCACUGAGACAUAUUUCGCUAAAAUAGCUAAAUCCUUUUGAGUGAAAUCCCUAAAGAUUAGCACCCUUUCAGGCAAUUUAGCUGCUGAAGAAAAGAGAAGGAAGACACAGUUCUGCAUAUCAAAGCUGUUUAAAAGAAGUGUUAAAAAGGUCUGUGGCUCACUAUGAGAGGUCUUAAAACCAAUGGCACACUUGGCUAAGAGAAAGUUGGCACAGCUCACUUGCAUUGUGAAAUUAAUAUUCAGAUUAUACACAUUUUAGAAAUAUAGGAAGUUGUGUUAUAUCAGUUCAGACCAUUGAUCCAUCUAUGCUGAUUUAGCAGGGAAUCUCUAGGGUUUCAGCAAGGAAUAUUUCCCAGCCCUUAAUGGAAAGGCUAGGGAUUGAACCUGGGACCUUUGUCUGCAAAACAUGUGCUCUACCAUUGAGCUAUAGACCUUCAUUUAACAUACAGGAACAUAGGAAGCUAAUUUAUACCGAUUCAGACCUUUGCAUAAUGUAACUCAGUAUUGGCACUGACUGGCAGUGGCAUUCUAGGGUUUCAGACGCAUUUCUCUAAGCCCUACCUAUAAAUGCUGGGGACUGGGCCCUUUUGCAUGUAAAACAGUUGUUGUACCACUGAGCUAUAGCUCUUCCCCAAUUUCUUGUGCCUUUGCAUUUUUAUAAAAAAAUAGGGGAGGGGCUUUUUAUUUCACCUUUUCAGCAACCCAUUGUAUAUGCUCUUGUAGCUGUUUUUUUAGA